CGCCCACUUCGGGCGAGAGACUGGGGACACCCCUAAACAGUAUAAUAGUAUAGCAGGGCUGACACAGAGACUAACAACCAUUCACACUCACAUCCACGGCAAUCGGAGAGAACCCACGCAGACACGGGGAGAACGUGCAGACUCCACUGGGCGGAGUCGUACCCAGGACCUUCAUGCUGUGAAGCGACGGUACUGACCACCACGCCACGUCAGACCCAGUGCCUCAAGGAGGCCCAAACCAGGUGGGAGUGGCCCAGGUGGAGAGAAUGCAGCCCAGGCCUGAAGCACUGCUGCUUUGCUUGGUUUUGUUUUGUUCCUGUUUUGUGUCUCCCAUUUGUUUCAUUUUGUUCAGUCAGAUUACGUUGUGGUAGUUUUUCUGUGUCUUGAACAAAUCGUGAUUUGUCCCCCAGAAGUUAAUUUAUACACUAUUUAUUUCUGUUUAGGAGUGCGUGGGGCUGGCAGCAGCGUGGCUACCCGGAUGGUGGUGGGGCUGGUUGGACUGGGCCUUUCACUUUCUCCUCCCCUUUUUCUCAGUUGCAUGUUUUUGAUUUAUAUUGUUUUGUGUGAGCGUGGAUGUGGCACUGGAGGGAGUGAGGGCCUUGCCCUAGAGCUUGUCCCCCCUCUUUUCCCCUUCUUAGCCCGCUGCAGCCUACGGCCCCAAUCGAAUCAAACUUGUUUAUUAAAACAAAGUAUUUCAUUCUUUGACGACAUUCCCAGAGUUGAUAGGAGUUCUUGAAAUUGAUUUGUAUCUUUUUGAUGGUAUUUUUAGAAACUCAAAUAAAUAUUGUACUCUGGGGGAA
Molecule: long non-coding RNA, 800 nt
Organism: Gasterosteus aculeatus aculeatus (three-spined stickleback)
Lineage: Eukaryota; Metazoa; Chordata; Actinopteri; Perciformes; Gasterosteidae
Source: RefSeq, a predicted model, not a curated record